UUUCCCUGUUUGACCACUAGGUUUUAUGGGUAUUAUGACUCAUACUGUGGUACUCUAUUGGGAAGAAUUAUUGACAUAAACACAUACAGCAUGAAUAGCUGUGGAUUGAAAACAUAAUGUUUUGCCAAACACCUGUGGAAAUAUGCAGCUGCAGAGAGAGAGAGAGAGAGAGAGAGAGAGAGACAGAGAGGGAGAGAGAGAGAGAUAGGAAGAGAGGGGGGUAGAGAGUGACAGAGAGGGAGAGAGAGAUAGGAAGAGAGUGAGAGAGAGAGAGAGAGAGAGAGAGAGACAGAGAGGGAGAGAGAGAGAGAUAGGAAGAGAGGGGGGUAGAGAGUGACAGAGAGGGAGAGAGAGAUAGGAAGAGAGGGAGAGAGAGAGAGAGAGAGAGAGAGAGAGAUAGGAACAGAGGGGGGUAGAGAGUGAGAGGCAGAGAGGGAGAGAGAGAGAGAGAAAGAGAGACAGAGAGAGACAGAGAGGGAGAGAGAGAGAGAAAGAGAGACACAGAGAGAGAGACAGAGAGAGAGAGAGAUAGAAAGAGAGGGGGGUAGAGAGUGAGAGAGAGAGAGACAGAGAGAGAGAGACAGAGAGAGAGGGGGGUAGAGAGAGAGAGAGAGAGAGAGAGAGAGAGAGAGAGAGAGAGAGAGAGAGAGAGAGAGAGAGAGAGCGGUAGAGUGUGAGAGAGAGAGGAACAGUCGGAAAAGCAGGGGAUGGAAGGGAACAGAACCGUAAAUCAGUAAACCAGUGCCCUUUGAUAACGACCUGGGAUCGUAGUGGGAUCAUAGCAGAGCUGGGUCACAGGGAUCGGGUUACGCCACAUUCCUUCCCUCAGCCCUCCACGUCCCUCCUGCUGAGAGGCAGUGAACACAGGCAUCUUCAGUUUCAGCAAUUAAAGAAAUGUGUCAGUCGGUCUUACAGGCCGUUACCAUUCCAAAUGGUCUGACUGGUCAGCCCACUCCCACUGUUUUCCUUCUAUUGAUGGGGAUAGGUUAGUUUAUGUGUGUGUGUGUGUGUGUGUGUGUGUUAUUUGCGAGGGAGAGCAAAGCACAUGGUCCAGUGAUUUGUACAGGAGCCACUGAGGUUGGAGGAAAAAAACUAGGUUCAAUUUCAGGGAUUUUUUUUCUUCUCACUUCAGACAAAAAGGCAGAUAGAAAAAAGCCAUUUUGGAAAGUUGGGAUUUGAUGGAAUGAAUGUAAAAAUAAUAAAUUAGUUAAAUGGAAUGGCCUCUAAGGAUGUAAAUAAGCUUAUCGGGA
Molecule: long non-coding RNA, 1250 nt
Filed under: Salmo salar (Atlantic salmon)
Lineage: Eukaryota; Metazoa; Chordata; Actinopteri; Salmoniformes; Salmonidae
Description: lncRNA (ENSSSAG00000091543.1)
Source: RNAcentral